RNAcentral lists this ribosomal RNA (468 nucleotides) under uncultured bacterium. Its description in RNAcentral is "partial 16S ribosomal RNA". It matches the Rfam family "Bacterial small subunit ribosomal RNA", at positions 28 to 507 of the family's 1533-position model. The record is from RNAcentral.
GACGAACGCUGGCGGCGUGCUUAACACAUGCAAGUCGAACGGAAAGGCCCUGCUUUUGUGGGGUGCUCGAGUGGCGAACGGGUGAGUAACACGUGAGUAACCUGCCCUUGACUUUGGGAUAACUUCAGGAAACUGGGGCUAAUACCGGAUAGGAGCUCCUGCUGCAUGGUGGGGGUUGGAAAGUUUCGGCGGUUGGGGAUGGACUCGCGGCUUAUCAGCUUGUUGGUGGGGUAGUGGCUUACCAAGGCUUUGACGGGUAGCCGGCCUGAGAGGGUGACCGGCCACAUUGGGCCUGAGGUACGGCCCAGACUCCUACGGGAGGCAGCAGUGGGGAAUAUUGCACCAUGGGCGGAAGCCUGAUGCAGCAACGCCGCGUGCGGGAUGACGGCCUUCGGGUUGUAAACCGCUUUCGCCUGUGACGAAGCGUGAGUGACGGUAAUGGGUAAAGAAGCACCGGCUAACUACGUG